GUGUGUGGCUCAGUGGUAGAGCGCUUGCCUGGCACGUGUGAGGCACUGGGUCCGGUCCUCAGCACCACA
Molecule: transfer RNA, 69 nt
Filed under: Marmota monax (woodchuck)
Lineage: Eukaryota; Metazoa; Chordata; Mammalia; Rodentia; Sciuridae
Description: tRNA.Ala
Source: RNAcentral